This 630-nucleotide long non-coding RNA is filed under the name Prunus dulcis (almond). Its description in RNAcentral is "sRNA ncRNA". Lineage: Eukaryota; Viridiplantae; Streptophyta; Magnoliopsida; Rosales; Rosaceae. The record is from RNAcentral.
AUGGAAGAGAAAGAGGCCUCAACAACACUAACCCUUGGCCCUGCAACUCCAUGCCCACAAGAGAAAGUUUCAACAGAGCUUGGCCUUGCAACUCCACGCCCACAAGAUGAAGUUUCAACAGAGUUGACUUUGUGGACCACAAAUAAGAAGAAGAGAAAACCAGAGACAGAGUGCCCUGUUCCGAAGAAGAAAACAAACACAAAUUUGGUCUCCUGGGUGAAACCUUGUGAGGCUUGGGAAAUCAAGAAGACACUCACCCCUAGCGAUCUCGAAAACUUGCUAAUUGUGGAAACCAAUUUUAUCGAGAACCAGGUUAUGUCUUUCUUGGGUGACACGUUUUCCAAAAGGGUACUUGAGAGCAAGUAUGGCGCCCGAGUCACAGUUCACGACCGCGAUACAUUUUCGAAGCAUCGAAUGGUUUUAAAGCUGCGCGAUUCGCCUAGGAGGAGUUACAUUUUGGAUGAAGAUUGGCAGGAGGAGUUUGUGAAGAGGAGAGAAUUGAAAGAGGGUGAUGAGAUUGGAGUUGGCUGGUACACACCCUCAAAUGUUCCUUCCAAAGCCAUGUUCACUUUUUCGGUACUUAAACGGGCAGGCCAACCUGCAGCUCUUCAUGAUCAGGAAUCAGUUUAA